Molecule: non-coding RNA, 5110 nt
Organism: Chlorocebus sabaeus (green monkey)
Lineage: Eukaryota; Metazoa; Chordata; Mammalia; Primates; Cercopithecidae
Source: RefSeq, a predicted model, not a curated record
AGAGAAUCACAUUACUGUGCCACCUCCUCCCCGCCCACGCAUGCGUUAAUGAACAAAACUCCACACUAACAGGAUGAAUGUUCUAUAGGACACCAAAACUCAAAAUUUGGUGCUCUCAGUAAAGAUACUCCGGGGGAAGAGGCAGCGGAUGGGUUUCACUGCAAGUGGAAAUGAAUCGAACUGGAAACUAUUCUGCCAGCUUAAGACUGGAGAUGAGCCCUGUGGGGCUGGAAGCCGAGACCGGCAGGUGACCGAGGGCCUGCAGGGAAGAGACGAAGGAGGAGGCACCCAGAGGCUGAGAAAGGUCUGUGCCGCAGGGGAGAAGACUGCCAGAGCCCGUGGCCACCUCUACCGCUGAGGUGGUGGAUGGGACCGCUCCGCCCAGUCCCCAGGAUGGGUUUCAGCCCCAGGCGUCUGGGAGAACUGAGGAGGGGAUGCGGGUCCUCGCUGGUCGAGCAAAAGUGAGGGUAAGGGAGGGUUCCCCGUCGCCUUCAGAACGGAAUGGUGCUGUCCCCGCCGCCAUCCCGACGCCGGAGGAGAGCGAACAGGUUACCUGUCUCAGCCGCGUCCCACGGGUCACCACUUCCGCAGACUCGGGGUUACUACGGGCUACCCCGGCACGCGCCGGGUGACGUCAUCGACACGCGCCCGAGGCCGCAUUCGGCCGGGCCCGCCUUCCGCUAAGCCCGCCCCCUUCGGAUGAGAGGGCGGGACCGCCCGAGGGAGAUCUGCGCAGGCGCGGGGCUGCCGCCGCUGUAGGAGGGCGCGAGCAGCCUGGCUUGCCGGGGCCUGUGGAGUUGCCGCGGAACCGUACUAUUCCUGUUUGCAAAAUCUUUAUGACACUUAAGAAAAAAAUCACCAGCCUGGGCAAGCUGGGGAGGCCCCGUCUCUACAAAAAAAUUAAAAAAUUAGCCGAGUGUGGUGGCGCGCGGCCGUGGUCCCAGCUACUCUGGAGGCUGAGGCAGGAUUGCUUAGGCCCAGUAGUUCGAGGCCGCAGUGAGCUAUGAACGUGCCACUGCACUCCAGCCUGGGCCACAGAGCAAGACCCCGUUUCAAAUAAAAUAAAAGAAGUUACCGAAAUACAGAUGUGCAAUUUUUAUUCCUUAGCCUAGUCUCAUCUCUGCUGCAUGUGACUGUUGUUCACAUAUUAAUUCCACCACAAUUUAAGUUCCUCGUGUGUGCCAGGGAAGCACCCUUAACAGAAGCUGGGGAAACAACCAGGAACAAGACAGAUGCUGUGCCUGCCCUCAUGGGGAUUACUUUCUAGUUGAGAAAGGAGAUAUUAAAUGGAGAAGGAAAAUAAGCUGCUGAGAAAUUAAAGGAAGACAGGUGACCUUUUGAUUUGAGAUGUCAAGAAAGUGCCCUCUGAAGAGGUUCAGUAAACUGAGAAGAUGCCAGCUCUGGAGAUACAAGGAAAGAACAGCCAACAGAAGGAUCUACAUGUGAACAAGCAACAAGGAAGGAGCAGAAUGUGGUGCCUUGAAGAAAGUGAGAAAGUGGGUCGUGGGAAGCACGGAGGAUGAGAUCAACGAGGCCAGGAGAGUCCCCAUCAUGCACAGACUCUCUGGGACCCUGUGAGGGAUACGGAGUUUAUUCCAAGUGUAAUGGGAAACUAGUGAAGAGUUUUCAACAUGUGAGUGACAGGACCUCGUUUCGUAACAUCAUCACCCUGCUUGCUGCUGUGUAUACAUGGAACUUUUGAGAAACAAUUUAAAAGGAUGCAAAGAGAAGAGUUGCUUUUGCAAUGAGCAGUUCCUGCUUCACAGGUUCUCUUCCCUGCUGAGUUGUGAAGAAGGCGCCUGCUUCCUCUUACACCGUGAUUGUUAAGUGUCCUGAGGCCUCCCCAACCUUGCAGAACUGAGCAUGAAAAUACCCCAUCCAGCAGAUGAAACACAUUCUCAUGCUCAUCCUGCAGAAUUUCUGGGUGACUGGUGGCAUCUCCUGCGGCGAUACAAGGAUGCGGGUUGAUGGAGAGGACAGCGAUACAUCUCAGCAGCUUGACAGCAUCACUGCCUCCUUCCCUCUCCCACAUCCCUGGAAAAGCUUAAAGUCUGCAGAUUACCAGAUGGGACCCCAGGGCUCAGAGGCUACCUAGACGCCUGCAGACAACAGACCAGAGGGGUCCAACAGACCAGAGGGGUCCGACAGACCGGAGGGGUCCGACAGACCGGAGGGGUCCAACAGACCAGAGGGGUCUGGCUAAAUGGUUUUCACCUGAGAAGGCAACGGGCUACUCCACUGUAAGAAAACCAUCUGUAUGAAAGAAUCUUGGUGAGUGGACUGUAAUCUAACUCUUUAAAUCCCAGGGCUCGUGGAAACAAAUGAGGUAAACUUGUUUGACUAAUAUAUCUCUAUUGUGAAAGCACACUGGAGCUUGCUUAAUCGUAAGCAGCUAUCAAGUGGCCAUAUAAUACAGCCCCGUGAGUCAAGAGCUGCCUGUGGCCAAACAGGCCUGCCAAGAAGCUGUGUACUUUGGUGGUCCCAACUCCCCGUUCUAUGUGGAGCCUCCAGGUGACCGGCCAAUCAAGAGGCCCGUAGACCAGGUCGCCCGCGGAGCAGCUAUGCAGAGCCGUCAUGCCAUCAUUUCCUGCAUGGCUUCCCACCUGCCUUCCCUCUGGCUUCACAGAGUCUGUUUACAAGGAGAAGUGGAUGCCCGUAUUCUGCUUGGCCUGCAGGCAGCCCAGGACACCAGCGUGGCUCCCUAGCGGCCCUUCUCGACCAGCGUGGCUCCCUAGCAGCCCUUCUCGAGGGGGAGCUGCUGGCAUUUGGUCAGGACAUGUCUUCACCGUGCGGGUCUCUUCCAUGUGCUGCAGAGCAGUGCUGUUGCUGGCGAAUGCUCUUUCCUGAGGACCAACGGGUCAGCCAGAAACACCUUCACACGUUUCAGAUGCCCUCAGGGGGGUAUCAGACCCUGGCUGAGAACUUCGUGUUUACUGCAUUCCUGGAUACAGGGGCUCGAGCCCAGUUAAUGUUUAACUCACAGAGAAGCUGGAGCCCUGGUGAGAGGCAUCUCUGUUUGGGCACUGAUGCAGAAUGGAAUGUUGGCGCAGGUCCUCUGGUUGAGCCACCUGUCCUGCUUUGGCUUGAGGCCCACACACAAUUCCCUUCACUUUAUCCAUUGGUUCGGCAUCCAGCGUCCACAGGUGUGGUUCUGGGGUGGGGCUGAGCUCACUGUGUGUUCCCUGGAGGUCCAGGGCCAUGUUUUGUUCCUCUGCAGUUCCUCCAGGACCAAGGAUCCGGAGCUCCCUUUGCCCUCGGAACAGAAGGUUAGCCACCAACUCUACCUCCGCCCUAUGCCCUGGGGAGUGGAGCCUCCUGCUCUAGGUUGGUCACACAAUAAUGAACCGAGUAAGGACUUGAGCCCAGCUCUCUUCAACUCAAAUUCUGCUCUCAAUCUACUACACCACAGGGUGGGACAACACAGAGCGAGACUCCAUCUCAAAAUAAUAAUAAUAAUAAUAAUUGUAUUAGAUUAUCUCCCCACCUGACCCCCCUCAGCCUCAUGACAGCUUGGUGACCGGCUCCUACAUUGAGCUGGUUGACAUUAAGAAAAUCCCUCAAAAAUGGCAGGAGAACAUCAAUGUAAAAAUUUAGCAAUUUGCUGAACUGUUUAUAUUUUUGCCUUGGAGUUCUUAGGGCCACACAUAAUUCAUUCAUCCAUCAUCAGACAUGAGGACACCGAAGUAGGGGAAAGAAGAAUUCCUUCUCUGGAGGAACUUACUGACAAGGAAAUCGACGUGUUCCACGCAGCAGAGGCAGGAGCAGGGUGGAGGUACGUGACCUCACUGGAAAGAAGAAGGUGAAGCCCAGUCGAGGACUCCAGGGAUGAGCUCAGCUGCAGCUUUUGCAGAUUCAAUAUUUGGGCUUUCAGCUAUUUGAGAAGCCUCGCCUCUUCACAGAAGAGAAUCCCGUUCCCGAAGCCUGGUCUGCAGGAGGGAGUCCCUGGGCUCUGUUGCUCAGCAGCCAGAGUGCAACGGUUUUGUUGUUCUCUGCUGUGGUACAUGAUGAAAAAUUUACACCUGGGAAGGUCUUUGGACCUAUCUACGCAAAGGGCAAAGGUUUAAGCCGUUGCCAUGACAUCUUACCCAGAGCGGCCUGACUUCCCGAGACGUUGCUCUUCUGGGAAGAAAUGCAGUGAUACCCAGGUCGGAACUGGAGCGCGCCACAGAGGACGUGUAACUGCUUCUUUGGUUGAGGACGGGAGGUGUUUGUAGUUCUGGUUAUAAUUGGAGCAAAAAUAUUCUACAUGAGCCCUAAUUAAAAUGAGGAGGAAAUGCACUUGAAGUUCUCUUUAAUAUGUGUGCUUAUGAAUCAAGUGUAUGGGAUGGGAAAUCAAGCCACUUGUUAACUCAAAAGAUCAUCCACAAAUAGACCCCAGGGUGGCUGUUGCAUGAAAUUGAAUUACGUGUCUAGAUCCAUCACAGCCACCUUCUCCUUUCUGUGAGUGGCUUCAGUAUGCCCUGAAGUAUGCCCCGAAGGUAAAUCUGUGGAAAAUUAGCAUCAAAUCUUCUAUUUCUGGUAAGACUAAGUGGGAUUUGAGGUGGUGUAUUUGCUUUUUUUUUUUUGUACUUUUAUGUAUGACCUGAUUUUUAAAAUUAUGACUAUGUAUUAAAUUCCAAAACCAAGUGUGCACAUUUAGAAUUAAAUAACCCGUAACAAGGGAAAACUGUCAAUAAUGAUAUGAGAACACAAAAGAGGAGAAAAUGGCGAAGAUUCAACUUGGUUGUACGUAAAAGCCAUUGCCAUCUCGGUCACUGGAGAAAUCACCAACCUUUAAGACUAUUCUCACCCUAGGAUAUUGUUAGGAGUGUCACAUAUAUGCAUCAGAUUCAUUCUGAGUCAUGUUUUAUUCAAUUCCUUGCUUAUACUUAUUUUGUGCUGCAUUCACUCUUGCCUGAAGAAGCAAUAUUGCAUGCUUAGGAUUUAAAAAAAACUUUUUUCAGGAGAUGCUGAGUGUUGCUACAAAGAGGAACUGCCUUUGGUUCUUCACUCUGUGAAGAGGUUUAUUAUUUUAUAAUUGCAUAACGAGUUCUUGGAACAUCGUCUUUAAAAGGAUAGAUGUUGUAUUGUAAUAAAACAAUGUUAUUAAAAUUUGAUAACCUGGAAACAA